ACACUGCUCAAAGACAUGUGGGUGAGCUUCUGUCUACUUUAUAGUAUUUUCUGGGCAAUUCAGUCAUUCAAUAUAGACCUCUGAUUUUGUUAAACAUUUUUAUGUCUGACUAGUUAAAUCUCAGAUGAGUCAGAAAUUUGAGUCCAUAAUGAAAUACAAAGUAUCUAAACAUUAAAAACUUUGCUUUUGUUCCUUUGCCCAUAUUUCUACUGCAGCACUAGAAAUACUUACUAUAAUAGGUAAUAUGUGAUUUUUGGAGUUGCUAGGAAGGACAGUGCCUUCUUUUAAGGUAGACAUUUAUUUGGAGCAUUUGUUCAAUGUAUGCAAAACAAAAGCAAAAAUCCCUACAAAAUCUCUCCAGUAAUCUCCCCAGAACACAGACCAAUCUAUUUGUCAGUGUGUAUAUCUUUCAAACUCCGUGAUUUUAGAUGGUAAAGUGCUCCUUCUAUAGUGUUUAUACUAUUUCUAGGGCCAUAGUACCCAUUUGACUCUUAAUAUUGGACUGCAGUUUAUUUUCAUUCUUAAUCCAUAUUGCUCAAGAGCCACAUUCCUAUAAGAUGAGGAGAACAUUGUCUCAGAUGUUCCUCAGGUAUUUCCAAGAUGAGGUUUUAGUUUGAUAGCUUUUUACAUUUCUGGGGUUUUUUGGGAGCUCAGUUUAUAACCACACCUUCCCUUUCCAUGAAGAACCAUAGGAAAGAAAGGCAGACCAUUGAAGCGGCCCUUUAGGGAGGAGGACUUGUUUGUUUAUUCUGCAGGCCCCUUGGACCUACAGAUCGUGGUCAGCCACGUGCCAUCUCUAACUCUGAUUUUCAUUGUACACUCCUUCCGAGAAUCCUCCCUGGACAGUUUCAGAAGGCACCAGCCCCACCAUGGACUUCCUUGCAGAUCUGAAGAAACUGGCAACCCCCUUCUGAGUGACCCACACUUUGGAAUGAAGUACAGUUGCAAGCAAAAGGAAAUGCUGGACGAGGAGAGGAUGAUGAGGCACCUAAUUGUGGGCUUGGGAAGUGACUUGACGACCCUGCCCUGAGAGCCUGCUCGAGAGGGUUGGCAAACUCUCCUGGUCCUGCUGUGAUUCCCUCAGGCUUGUGAGGGACGACAGAUGGUUGAGCUAAACUCAGAGCCACCCCUCCACAUAAUGAAGAAAAAUGACCAGCC
Lontra canadensis (Northern American river otter) is the source of this 1158-nucleotide long non-coding RNA. RefSeq lists it as uncharacterized. The record is from RefSeq and is a predicted model, not a curated record. NCBI's taxonomy places the organism in Eukaryota, Metazoa, Chordata, Mammalia, Carnivora, Mustelidae. The transcript has 3 exons.